UAUUCACUCGACCUCCCACUCGA
Molecule: non-coding RNA, 23 nt
Filed under: Arabidopsis thaliana (thale cress)
Lineage: Eukaryota; Viridiplantae; Streptophyta; Magnoliopsida; Brassicales; Brassicaceae
Source: RNAcentral